This 180-nucleotide ribosomal RNA is filed under the name uncultured Glomeromycotina. RNAcentral describes it as "partial small subunit ribosomal RNA". The record is from RNAcentral. Lineage: Eukaryota; Fungi; Glomeromycota.
GCCCUGGCCGGGCGGUCUGCCUCACGGUAUGUACUGUCUGGCUGGGGCUUACCUCUUGGUGAGCUCGCAUGCCGUUUAUUCGGUGUGUGAGGGAACCAGGACUUUUACUUUGAGCAAAUUAGAGUGUUCAAAGCAGGCAAUCGAGCCUUGAAUACUUCAGCAUGGGAUAAUGGAACAGGA